RNAcentral lists this ribosomal RNA (476 nucleotides) under Upeneus tragula (freckled goatish). RNAcentral describes it as "partial small subunit ribosomal RNA". It matches the Rfam family "Bacterial small subunit ribosomal RNA", at positions 788 to 1491 of the family's 1533-position model. The record is from RNAcentral. Lineage: Eukaryota; Metazoa; Chordata; Actinopteri; Syngnathiformes; Mullidae.
CACUAUGCCUGGCUGUAAACAUUGAUAAAAUACCACAAAUAUUAUCCGCCCGGGUACUACGAGCACUAGCUUAAAACCCAAAGGACUUGGCGGUGCUUUAGACCCCCCUAGAGGAGCCUGUUUCUAGAACCGAUAAUCCCCGUUCAACCUCACCCCUCCCUGUCAAUUCUGCCUAUAUACCGCCGUCGCCAGCCUACCCUGUGAAGGAACCAUAGUGGGCCAUACUGGUAAUACCCCAAACGUCAGGUCGAGGUGUAGCAUAUGGAGGGGGAAGUAAUGGGCUACAUUCACUGCAUCAGUGAAUACGAAAGGUGCGCUGAAAGACGCAUCUGAAGGUGGAUUUAGCAGUAAGAGGGGAGCAGAGUGCCCUUCUGAAAUCGGCUCUUGAGCGUGCACACAUCGCCCGUCACUCUCCCCGAACCCGUCUAUUCUCGUACUUAACAAUACGGACACCACUAAGGGGAGGCAAGUCGUAA